RNAcentral lists this ribosomal RNA (412 nucleotides) under uncultured Opitutaceae bacterium. Its description in RNAcentral is "bacterial SSU rRNA". It matches the Rfam family "Bacterial small subunit ribosomal RNA", at positions 506 to 916 of the family's 1533-position model. Lineage: Bacteria; Pseudomonadati; Verrucomicrobiota; Opitutia; Opitutales; Opitutaceae. The record is from RNAcentral.
UGUCAGCAGCCGCGGUAAUACAGAGACUGCAAGCGUUAUUCGGAUUCACUGGGCGUAAAGGGUGCGCAGGCGGCCAUGUGUGUGAGGCGUGAAAGCCCGGGGCUUAACCCCGGAAUUGCACCUCAAACUACAUGGCUAGAGCAUUGGAGAGGGUAGCAGAAUUCACGGUGUAGCAGUGAAAUGCGUAGAUAUCGUGAGGAAUACCAGAGGCGAAGGCGGCUACCUGGACAAUUGCUGACGCUCAGGCACGAAAGCGUGGGGAGCAAAAGGGAUUAGAUACCCCUGUAGUCCACGCCCUAAACGGUGCACACUAGGUCUUGGCGGAUUCGACCCCACCAGGGCCCAAGCUAACGCGUUAAGUGUGCCGCCUGAGGACUACGGCCGCAAGGCUAAAACUCAAAGGAAUUGACGG